GAUGAAGAACGUAGCGAAAUGCGAUAAGUAAUGUGAAUUGCAGAAUUCAGUGAAUCAUCGAAUCUUUGAACGCACAUUGCGCCCGCCAGUAUUCUGGCGGGCAUGCCUGUUCGAGCGUCAUUUCAACCAUCAAGCCCCAGGCUUGGGUUGGGGACCUGCGGCUGCCGCAGGCCCUGAAAACCAGUGGCGGGCUCGCUGUCACACCGGGCGUAGUAGAUUUUAUCUCGCUCAGGGCGUGCUGCGGGUUCCGGCCGUUAAAAAGCCUUUUUUACCCAAGGUUGACCACGGAUCAGGUAGGAAGACCCGCUGAACUUAAGCAUAUCAAUAAGCGGAGGA
This 336-nucleotide unclassified non-coding RNA is filed under the name soil metagenome. Its description in RNAcentral is "partial contains 5.8S ribosomal RNA, internal transcribed spacer 2, and large subunit ribosomal RNA". The stretch from base 1 to 120 matches the Rfam family "5.8S ribosomal RNA", at positions 35 to 154 of the family's 154-position model. The record is from RNAcentral.